This is a long non-coding RNA of Mytilus californianus (California mussel), 2439 nucleotides long. RefSeq lists it as uncharacterized. NCBI's taxonomy places the organism in Eukaryota, Metazoa, Mollusca, Bivalvia, Mytilida, Mytilidae. The record is from RefSeq and is a predicted model, not a curated record. The transcript has 3 exons.
UCAAAUACAUCAUUGAAAUUAUCUCCCUUACACUGCUUUUAAAUUAUGUAUAAAGUAAUGGUUAAUGAACAAUUAAGAUAUUUUAAAACAGUGUAAGGGAGGUAAUCCAAAUACAACGUUUUGGUUACUUCCCUUACACUGCUUUUAAAUUAUGUUUAAAGAAAUGCAUAUUUAUAAAGGAAGACCAGUAAAAAUAUCUGCAAAUGUUGCAUCUUUUUUUUUUACAAAAAAAUCCAUAUGAAAGAUUUGACACUAUAUUUUAAAUUCUAUUAUAAAAUAGAUUAAGUUAGCACUAUGGUAAAUUUAAAUGGGUAAUUAUGGUUGCAAACUCCAUUGGAAAUUUGAAUUGAGAUUAUGACCAUAUCUUGAGGGAAAAAAUUUUUUGGGGGGAAAAAAGGGGGGGGGUAAAAAGAAAUUGUGGGGGGUCAAUUUUUCUCAUUUCAGAUUUCAGAAAUUAAAAAGAAUUAUUCUUCAAAUAUUUUUUUUUUUCUUCAAAUUUCAAAUAUUGAAAAAUUUCAAGAAGUAAUCUUUAAUUGCACAGUAUGGCGCUUUAGAUUUGUAAAAUCUGUGACCACAUUUAUUUAUUUGUUAUGCCGAAUCUAACCGUGUUUUUAGAUUUUUAAUUUUGGGUCCAGUUUUCAAAUUGGUCUACAUUAAGGUCCAAAGGGUCCAAAAUUAAACUUUGUUUGAUUUCAACAAAAAUUGAAUAUAUGGGGUUCUUUGAUAUGCUGAAUCUAACCAUGUAUUUAGAUUUUUUAUUUGUGGACCCCGCUAUCAAAUUGGUUCAUAUUGAGGUCAAAAGGGUCCAAAAUAAAACUUCGUUUGAUUUCAUCAAAAACUGAAUUAUUGGGGUUCUUUGAUAUGCCAAAUAUAACCAUGUAUUUAGAUUUUUAAUUUUGGGUCCUGUUUUUUAAAUUGGUCUACAUUAAGGUCCAAAGGGUCCAAAAUUAAACUUAGUUUGAUUUUAACAAAAAUUGAAUUCUGGGGGUUCUUUGAUAUGCUGAUUCUAAACAUGUGUUUAGAUUUUUGAUUAUGGGCCCAGUUUUCAAGUUGGGCCAAGUUGGGGUUCAAAAUUAAACUUUUUUUGAUUUCAACAAAAAUUGAAUAUAUGGGGUUCUUUGAUAUGCUGAAUCUAACCAUGUAUUUAGAUUUUUUAUUUGUGGGCCCCACUUAUCAAAUUGGUUCAUAUUGAGGUCAAAAGGGUCCAAAAUUAAACUUUGUUUGAUUUCAUCAAAAAUUGAAUUAUUGGGGUUCUUUGAUAUUCCAAAUCUAACCGUGUAUUAAGAUUUUUAAUUUUGGGUCCUGUUUUUUAAAUUGGUCUACAUUAAGGUCCAAAGGGUCCAAAAUUAAACUUUGUUUGAUUUCAACAAAAAUUGAAUAUAUGUGGUUCUUUGAUAUGCUGAAUCUAACCAUGUAUUUAGAUUUUUUAUUUGUGGACCCCGCUAUCAAAUUGGUUCAUAUUGAGGUCAAAAGGGUCCAAAAUAAAACUUCGUUUGAUUUCAUCAAAAACUGAAUUAUUGGGGUUCUUUGAUAUGCCAAAUAUAACCAUGUAUUUAGAUUUUUAAUUUUGGGUCCUGUUUUUUAAAUUGGUCUACAUUAAGGUCCAAAGGGUCCAAAAUUAAACUUAGUUUGAUUUUAACAAAAAUUGAAUUCUGGGGGUUCUUUGAUAUGCUGAUUCUAAACAUGUGUUUAGAUUUUUGAUUAUGGGCCCGGUUUUCAAGUUGGGCCAAGUUGGGGUUCAAAAUUAAACUUUUUUUGAUUUCAACAAAAAUUGAAUAUAUGGGGUUCUUUGAUAUGCUGAAUCUAACCAUGUAUUUAGAUUUUUUAUUUGUGGGCCCCACUUAUCAAAUUGGUUCAUAUUGAGGUCAAAAGGGUUCAAAAUUAAACUUUGUUUGAUUUCAUCAAAAAUUGAAUUAUUGGGGUUCUUUGAUAUUCCAAAUCUAACCGUGUAUUAAGAUUUUUAAUUUUGGGUCCUGUUUUUUAAAUUGGUCUACAUUAAGGUCCAAAGGGUCCAAAAUUUAACUUAGUUUGAUUUUAACAAAAAUUGAAUUCUUUGGGUUCUUUAAUAUGCUGAAUCUAAACAUGUGUUUAGAUUUUUGAUUAUGGGCCCAGUUUUCAAGUUUGUCCAAGUUGGGGUCCAAAAUUAAACUUUGUUUGAUUUCAACAAAAAUUGAAUAUAUGGGGUUCUUUGAUAUGCUGAAUCUAACCAUGUAUUUUGAUUUUGGACAUUGGACCAUAGUAGGUAAAUUAAAAAAAUUCAAGUUCUUAGACCACAUUCUUUCUGUGUCAGAAACCUAUGCUGUGUCAAAUAUUUAAUCACAAUCCAAAUUCAGAGCUGUAUCAAGCUUGAAUGUUGUGUCCAUACUUGCCCCAACUGUUCAGGGUUCGACCUCUGCGGUCGUAUCAAGCUGCGCCCAGCGAAGCAUUUUAUUCAAAAAU